Non-coding RNA from Aedes albopictus (Asian tiger mosquito), 47 nucleotides. Lineage: Eukaryota; Metazoa; Arthropoda; Insecta; Diptera; Culicidae. The record is from Rfam.
AAAACGGUCCUUUUCAGGACUACUAAACAUUAUCACCAUUAAGAAUU